GGGCGCGUAGCUCAGUUGGUUAGAGCGCCUGCCUUACAAGCAGGAAGUCCCCGGUUCGAGUCCGGGCGUGCCCA
RNAcentral lists this transfer RNA (74 nucleotides) under Thermoleophilaceae bacterium. RNAcentral's name for it is "tRNA-Val". It matches the Rfam family "tRNA". From Rfam's summary of the family: Transfer RNA (tRNA) molecules are approximately 80 nucleotides in length. Their secondary structure includes four short double-helical elements and three loops (D, anti-codon, and T loops). Lineage: Bacteria; Bacillati; Actinomycetota; Thermoleophilia; Thermoleophilales; Thermoleophilaceae. The record is from RNAcentral.